AACGAACGCUGGCGGCAUGCCUAACACAUGCAAGUCGAACGAGACCUUCGGGUCUGGUGGCGCACGGGUGCGUAACGCGUGGGAACCUGCCUUUAGGUUCGGAAUAACUCAGAGAAAUUUGAGCUAAUACCGGAUGAUGUCUUCGGACCAAAGAUUUAUCGCCUUUAGAUGGGCCCGCGUUGGAUUAGCUAGUUGGUGGGGUAAAGGCCUACCAAGGCGACGAUCCAUAGCUGGUCUGAGAGGAUGAUCAGCCACACUGGGACUGAGACACGGCCCAGACUCCUACGGGAAGCAGCAGUGGGGAAUAUUGGACAAUGGGCGAAAGCCUGAUCCAGCAAUGCCGCGUGAGUGAUGAAGGCCUUAGGGUUGUAAAGCUCUUUUACCCGAGAUGAUAAUGACAGUAUCGGGAGAAUAAGCUCCGGCUAACUCCGUG
Molecule: ribosomal RNA, 433 nt
Filed under: uncultured bacterium
Lineage: Bacteria
Description: partial 16S ribosomal RNA
Rfam family: Bacterial small subunit ribosomal RNA
Source: RNAcentral